AACGAACGCUGGCGGCGUGCCUAACACAUGCAAGUCGUGCGAGAAAGUUCCUUCGGGAGCGAGUAAAGCGGCGCACGGGUGAGUAACACGUAGGUAACCUGCCCCCCAGUCUGGAACAACUAGAGGAAACUCUAGCUAAUGCCGGAUGAGACCACGAUCCCCUUCGGGGGUUGCGGCCAAAAGAUGGCCUCUACUUGUAAGCUAUCGCUGAGGGAUGGGCCUGCGGGCCAUUAGCUUGUUGGUGAGGUAACGGCUCACCAAGGCUGUGAUGGCUAGCUGGUCUGAGAGGAUGACCAGCCACACUGGGACUGAGACACGGCCCAGACUCCUACGGGAGGCAGCAGUGGGGGAAUAUUGCGCAAUGGGCGAAAGGACCUGGACGCAGCGACGCCG
Molecule: ribosomal RNA, 393 nt
Filed under: uncultured bacterium
Lineage: Bacteria
Description: bacterial SSU rRNA
Rfam family: Bacterial small subunit ribosomal RNA
Source: RNAcentral